ACUGCAUAGGGUACCUGUUUACAGAUUUUGAUAUAGGAAAAAAAAUGCGGCAGUGACUUGAUUACAAGAGCUAUGUUGUAUCUUUAAAAUCUAAAAAAAAUAACAAUGCAAAGUACUUGUUGUGAAUACAAUAUUUUCAAAAUGGACAUGAUGUGAAUAUAACAUUUUCAUUCAAAGUACCAGAUUUUCAAGUCUUACACUUUGCUUCUUUAUUAAGCUAUCAAUAGAAAAAAUGGUUGUCGU
RNAcentral lists this long non-coding RNA (243 nucleotides) under Elaeis guineensis (African oil palm). RNAcentral describes it as "long non-coding RNA (EGUI_LNC027030)". The record is from RNAcentral. Lineage: Eukaryota; Viridiplantae; Streptophyta; Magnoliopsida; Arecales; Arecaceae.